CUAAUUUUAGUGAAGACUGAUUCAAAUUCCCCAUAUUUUGCUAAAAUAACUCAUUCAAAUCGAAAAGAUUUAUUCAAAUAUGCAGGAAAUCAUAAAUACUAAUGAGUUCCUCUUCUCUAUUUCCUCGAAACCAUAAAUACUUAUUCAAUAUGCUGCAGAAAGGGGAAAGACACAAUUGAUGAAUUCCCCUUUUGUAUUUCCUCGCAACCAAAGAUGCUCAAUAACCUUAAUCCCACAUCUAUUCUCAUUAAACUUUCUCUAAUCAGACUAUUAGGGUUUUUGUGAAUGUCACGGGCAUCAACAAGGCUUUCAUGCUUGCUAUACUCUGAUUCGUAAUCUGAUAUGCCUCUGUCAUUUGCCAAAUAUGACUCCUUCAGAUGCUCUCCACUCUUCGGUUCCAUCUACAUCAGCCCUCAUAUGCGCACAUAUGUCCAACAUAACGAUCGCAGUCAAAGUGCACCCAUGGUUAUAGUCCUUUAAGCUUAAACCGGGAGAAAAGUCCAGUUAGAGAAAAUGUGGCAGACCAACAAGUCUUGUAGAAGACCAAAUAAGGCUAAUAUGGCUCUCUCUCUCUCUCUCUCUAGGUCUUUUGUGUGUAGGACCUGUUAAUAUGUGUCCUUAUGGGAUCAAAGUUGGUGGCAUGGUGCUUUCGAUAAAGUUUUGGGUUAUGUUCUAUUUUGAAUGCAAGUUUCACUCUGGAAUGGAUUUUGGAGGGAUUAUUGUGUUAAAUUAAAUUCAUGGAUGGGAGGCAAUAGUGAUGCAGAAAUCAAGUCCAUGGAGAGGAUUAAAGUUGAAAAUUGUGAUGAUAUGCAAAUCAUUUGAGAGGGGAAAUUGUAUGUUAUCCCGGUAAUAGCUUUGCUUAUGGAUAUCCAACAUCAAAUACUAGAGAACUGUGGAAUCAAUUUAAUGCAGCCCAUUGAUUUAUUAA
This is a long non-coding RNA of Lactuca sativa (garden lettuce), 928 nucleotides long. RefSeq lists it as uncharacterized. Lineage: Eukaryota; Viridiplantae; Streptophyta; Magnoliopsida; Asterales; Asteraceae. The record is from RefSeq and is a predicted model, not a curated record.